Molecule: long non-coding RNA, 113 nt
Organism: Drosophila elegans
Lineage: Eukaryota; Metazoa; Arthropoda; Insecta; Diptera; Drosophilidae
Exons: 2
Source: RefSeq, a predicted model, not a curated record
CAAUUCAUGGUAUGUUUAAAAGUCUUGUCUCGAUUUAACUUUUCUUAAUCUAAAGGCGACCUACAUUUAAGCAAAGAUAAUGACGUCAAGCCACAUUGGAAUUUUCUAAAGGU